RNAcentral lists this ribosomal RNA (716 nucleotides) under Clostridium sporogenes. Its description in RNAcentral is "bacterial SSU rRNA". It matches the Rfam family "Bacterial small subunit ribosomal RNA", at positions 56 to 788 of the family's 1533-position model. Lineage: Bacteria; Bacillati; Bacillota; Clostridia; Eubacteriales; Clostridiaceae. The record is from RNAcentral.
UGCAAGUCCGAGCGAUGAAGCUUCCUUCGGGAAGUGGAUUAGCGGCGGACGGGUGAGUAACACGUGGGUAACCUGCCUCAAAGUGGGGGAUAGCCUUCCGAAAGGAAGAUUAAUACCGCAUAACAUAAGAGAAUCGCAUGAUUUUCUUAUCAAAGAUUUAUUGCUUUGAGAUGGACCCGCGGCGCAUUAGCUAGUUGGUAAGGUAACGGCUUACCAAGGCAACGAUGCGUAGCCGACCUGAGAGGGUGAUCGGCCACAUUGGAACUGAGACACGGUCCAGACUCCUACGGGAGGCAGCAGUGGGGAAUAUUGCGCAAUGGGGGAAACCCUGACGCAGCAACGCCGCGUGGGUGAUGAAGGUCUUCGGAUUGUAAAGCCCUGUUUUCUGGGACGAUAAUGACGGUACCAGAGGAGGAAGCCACGGCUAACUACGUGCCAGCAGCCGCGGUAAUACGUAGGUGGCGAGCGUUGUCCGGAUUUACUGGGCGUAAAGGGUGCGUAGGCGGAUGUUUAAGUGGGAUGUGAAAUCCCCGGGCUUAACCUGGGGGCUGCAUUCCAAACUGGAUAUCUAGAGUGCAGGAGAGGAAAGCGGAAUUCCUAGUGUAGCGGUGAAAUGCGUAGAGAUUAGGAAGAACACCAGUGGCGAAGGCGGCUUUCUGGACUGUAACUGACGCUGAGGCACGAAAGCGUGGGUAGCAAACAGGAUUAGAUACCCU